This 1316-nucleotide long non-coding RNA is filed under the name Cyanistes caeruleus (blue tit). RNAcentral's name for it is "lncRNA (ENSCCEG00000013633.1)". The record is from RNAcentral. Lineage: Eukaryota; Metazoa; Chordata; Aves; Passeriformes; Paridae.
CUGGGAUCUGACUCACUUGUCUGGGGCUUGAUCCACCAUGAGGCUGGAGGGUCUCCAGCAGAACCAGCUUCUGAUCCACACCCCCCAUGGGUUCUCUGCUGCACGUGGAGGUUGCAUCACUGCCAUGGAUGUCCUUGCAGGGAGAAAGGGGGAGCUGUGCAAAGGGGAGAGACUUUUUACUGUAGGGUUGAAGGUAAAUGGAGAGACUCCCAGAAAGGGAAGAUGUAUGGACUCAGAGAGCUGUGAUCUGCUAGAGCUGAAAGGAUUGGAAGAGUCUGUACCCUCAGACAGGACAGUGGCUUUCAUGGGCACAGCUGUGUGCUGGAAAACCCCAGGCAAAGAGAGAAGUGCAUCGCCCUGUGCUCUUGGAGUUCUGGGCUUUGGAGAGACCAAAGGAGGAUUUUAAUACAAACUGCUCUUGCUUCUGAAACUCAUUAGAGCAAGAAGAAAAUCUUCAAAACCUAUGAGAGAAAAGGACUUUUUUAUCACUGUGCAAGUGAGGUCUGGAUCUGGCUGUCUUUGGAGGUUGUGGAGACAGACAGCGUCAGCCUGUUCAAAAGGGUUGGAAAAACCCAUGGAUUGCAAGUCCAUAAAAAUAUACUGAUGGAAGGGAACAGGCAGAGAUGUCUGCAAUAAUGUGCCCAGUCCAGGAAAUGUGGAUGUUGGAGAAGUCUGUGAACCACAGGAAUUCAUGCAGCCUCUUCCAGCUGGAUUUGAUGGAUCAAAGGUUUCCCCUAGUAGGGAAUUAUUUUGCCAUUAAAAGAGAUUACACCCCACACGUGAAGACAAUUGAUUACAGAAUGUUUUAUUUUCUUUUUUUUCCUCUGUACUAGAAAAUUUGUAACUGUAGUCCUGAAGUUUUAAUCACCAUAAAUGACAAUAACUCCUAUAAAAGAGGCUUUAUGUGGAAAUUUAAGAAUAACACCAAAUUAUACAUGAGAACAAACCUACAAGCUUCAUGAUCUUCAUGUGUUUUUUUCUUACAGGUGUCUCAAGUUAUUGUAUCUUUUUAAGGAGAUAACUUGAUAUCUGGGAGAAAAUCACUGUCUAAAAAACCUACGAAUUUAAAUUAUCUCAUAUGAUUGACAGGUUUUAACACCCACAACUAAUAUGGAGCUACUUGAUGGCAGACUUCACAGUUUACAGAUAGAUUAAAAGGAAGCAGAAAAUUUGUUCUUACUUUAAAGCAAGCCUGUGUAGCAUAUAUCCAGGCUUCCUUUGAAUAAGCAAUCUACUUUUGAGAGAGAAAACACACUGAUACACAUUUAAGAAAAACAGAAAAUAAAAAUCAGUGUUGCACUCCUUGGUUUGUGUUU